RNAcentral lists this ribosomal RNA (253 nucleotides) under uncultured bacterium. Its description in RNAcentral is "partial 16S ribosomal RNA". It matches the Rfam family "Bacterial small subunit ribosomal RNA", at positions 524 to 776 of the family's 1533-position model. The record is from RNAcentral.
UACGUAGGGGGCUAGCGUUGUCCGGAAUCAUUGGGCGUAAAGCGCGUGUAGGCGGCCCGGUAAGUCCGCUGUGAAAGUCGGGGGCUCAACCCUCGAAUGCCGGUGGAUACUGUCGGGCUAGAGUGCGGAAGAGGCGAGUGGAAUUCCUGGUGUAGCGGUGAAAUGCGCAGAUAUCAGGAGGAACACCGAUUGCGAAGGCAGCUCGCUGGGACGUAACUGACGCUGAGACGCGAAAGCGUGGGGAUCAAACAGG